RNAcentral lists this ribosomal RNA (465 nucleotides) under uncultured bacterium. Its description in RNAcentral is "bacterial SSU rRNA". It matches the Rfam family "Bacterial small subunit ribosomal RNA", at positions 926 to 1391 of the family's 1533-position model. The record is from RNAcentral.
CAAGUGGUGGAGCAUGUGGUUUAAUUCGAUGAUACGCGAGGAACCUUACCUAGGCUAGAAUGCGCGUGACCGGCUCAGAGAUGAGCCUUUCCUUCGGGACACAAAGCAAGGUGCUGCAUGGCCGUCGUCAGCUCGUGCCGUGAGGUGUUGGGUUAAGUCCCGCAACGAGCGCAACCCCUAUGUUUAGUUGCCAGCAUGUAAUGAUGGGGACUCUAGACAGACUGCCUGCGCAAGCAGUGAGGAAGGCGGGGACGACGUCAGGUCAUCAUGGCCCUUACGCCUAGGGCGACACACGUGCUACAAUGGACGGUACAGCGGGUAGCUACACAGCGAUGUGAUGCCAAUCUCGAAAAGCCGUUCUCAGUUCGGAUCGGAGUCUGCAACUCGACUCCGUGAAGCUGGAAUCACUAGUAAUCGCGCAUCAGCCAUGGCGCGGUGAAUACGUUCCCGGGCCUUGUACACACC